UACAGAGGUCUCAAGCGUUGUCCGGAUUUAUUGGGCGUAAAGCGCUCGCAGGUGGUCCGAUGCGUCGUGCGUGAAAGACCCCGGCUCAACUGGGGAGUGUCGUGCGAUACGGUCGGACUGGAGGCCAGUAGGGGGAUGCGGAAUUCCGGGUGUAGUGGUGGAAUGCGUAGAGAUCCGGAGGAACACCAGCGGCGAAGGCGGCAUCCUGGACUGGUCCUGACACUCAUGAGCGAAAGCGUGGGGAGCGAGCCGG
RNAcentral lists this ribosomal RNA (253 nucleotides) under uncultured bacterium. RNAcentral's name for it is "partial 16S ribosomal RNA". It matches the Rfam family "Bacterial small subunit ribosomal RNA", at positions 524 to 776 of the family's 1533-position model. The record is from RNAcentral.